AACAGCCCAUCGCCCAAUCCGCCGCCAGCCUGGCGGACCGGAAAUUUGGCGUAUAGGAGAGACCCUUCCGAGUUCCGACUCCGGUGCAAGUCCCCCUGACUGGGGCUCUUACCCCGAGAGGGUGCAAGGCCCGUAGCUGCCGGAAGGCGGUACUCGGAUGUCCUCUCCUGGGAGUCGGGUUGCUUGAGAGUGCAGCCCUAAUCAGGUGGUAAACUCCAUCUAAGGCUAAAUACGACCUGGAGACCGAUAGCGAACAAGUACCGUGAGGGAAAGUUGAAAAGGACUUUGAAGAGAGAGUUCAAGAGUACGUGAAACCGUUCGGAGGUAAACGAGUGGGCCCUCGAAUUGAGAAGGCGGGGGGACUCAGCCGAACGCCGUUGCCUGCCGUCGUGUCCGCGCUUCCCUCCCGGGACGCGGUGCGGCGGACGUCGGCGGCGGCGGACGGCGCAUUUCUUCCCGUCCUCCGACGCUGCGACCGGUCGGGCGCGCCACGAGCAGUCGGCCUUACACGCGGGAGCUGGCAGGUAGCCGGGACAGUGCCUCCGCGCUGUCUCCGGUGUUUAGCCGUCCCGUUUUCGUGCAGCCGUUCGCCCGACCGCAGGACUCGGCCCUCAGGGGCCCGGCCGUGCCCUCCCCCUGGUGGGGAUCGGUUCUCGGCCCGGAAGGGAGGCCGUCGUCUCUUCCCCGUUUCACCCUAGCGUGGGCGGGGAGCGGCGGUGCCCGUUUGCCGGGUCGUUUCCGAGCGGGUGCGAAACACGGACCAAGGAGUUUAACAUGCACGCGAGUCAUUGGGUCGUGAACAGGCCCAAAGGCGCAAUGAAAGUGAAGGGCGGCUCUCCGUCGUCCGCGUUGGGAUCCGGCGGCCUCGGCCGUCGGCGCACCAACGGCUCGUCCGUGCCGCCACGUCGGCCGGGCGAAGCUAGAGCGUGCACGUUGAGACCCGAAAGAUGGUGAACUAUGGCUGGGCAGGACGAAGCCAGAGGAAACUCUGGUGGAGGUCCGCAGCGGUUCUGACGUGCAAAUCGAUCGUCAGACCUGGCUAUAGGGGCGAAAGACUAAUCGAACCAUCUAGUAGCUGGUUCCCUCCGAAGUUUCCCUCAGGAUAGCUGGCGCUCGGGAGGAAGCAGUCUCAUCCGGUAAAGCGAAUGAUUAGAGGCCUUGGGGCCGAAAAGACCUCAACCUAUUCUCAAACUUUCAAUGGGUGAGAAGUCCGGUUUGCUCGAUUGAAGCCUGGACAUUCUCGGAUGCGAGUGCCCAGUGGGCCACUUUUGGUAAGCAGAACUGGCGCUGUGGGAUGAACCAAACGACGGGUUAAGGGGCCCGAUGCAGGACGCUCAUGAGAACCCAUGAAAGGUGUUGGUUGCUAUAGACAGCAGGACGGUGGCCAUGGAAGUCGGAAUCCGCUAAGGAGUGUGUAACAACUCACCUGCCGAAGCAACUAGCCCUGAAAAUGGAUGGCGCUUCAGCGUCGACCCCAUACCCGUCCGCCGCGGCGGAGAUGCGAUCGCAUUAUGCCGCGGUGAGUAGGAGGGCGCGGGGGCGUGCGUGGAAGGUGCCGGGCGUGAGCCCGCCUGGAGCCGCCCCCGGUGCAGAUCUUGGUGGUAGUAGCAAAUACUCAAGUGAGAACCUUGAGGACUGAGGUGGAGAAGGGUUCCAUGUGAACAGCAGUUGAACAUGGGUCAGUCGGUCCUAAGGGAUGUCCGAAAGGAUUUCCGAAGGGGGCACCUUGUUUCUUGGUCUCCCCCAUGACCGAAAGGGAAUCGGGUUAAUAUUCCCGAACCCGGACACGGAGAUCGGCCCCCUCGGGGGCACGUGCGGUAACGCAAACGACCUCGGAGACGUCGACGGGGGUCCCGGGAAGAGUUGUCUUUUCUUUGUAAGGGUUCGGCUCCCUGGAAUCGGCUCGCCCGGAGAUAGGGAUGCUGAACCCGUAAAGCACCGCGCCUCUUGUGGUGUCCGGAGCGCUCCCGUCGGCCCUUGAAAAUCCGAGCGAGAGUUGGUGAUUUUCGUGCCGGCCCGUACCC
This 2024-nucleotide ribosomal RNA is filed under the name Zalmoxis sp. DNA102494. RNAcentral describes it as "eukaryotic LSU rRNA". It matches the Rfam family "Eukaryotic large subunit ribosomal RNA", at positions 103 to 1849 of the family's 3401-position model. Lineage: Eukaryota; Metazoa; Arthropoda; Arachnida; Opiliones; Zalmoxidae. The record is from RNAcentral.